Molecule: transfer-messenger RNA, 368 nt
Filed under: Ochromonas sp. CCMP1393
Lineage: Eukaryota; Chrysophyceae; Chromulinales; Chromulinaceae
Rfam family: transfer-messenger RNA
About the family: Bacterial tmRNA, also known as 10Sa RNA or SsrA, is named for its dual tRNA and mRNA-like properties. Its role is to liberate the mRNA from a stalled ribosome.
Source: RNAcentral
GGGGGUGUACUGGAUUCGACGGGAUGAGUACAAUCGCAGGUUGCAUGCCGAGAGUGUCCAAUGGAUCUCGUAAUAAUAUCCAUUAUGGAAUUAAUAUAAUUGACAACAAUUAUUCAUACCGCCUAGCAGCGUAAGCUGACUAAGCCGUUCCCUUGGUUAUCGUGCCUAUCAGUGCCAAGCUGAACGCCAUAAAAGAUAGGAUAGCGUAACACGGUUUUCUGUCUUUGUUGCGUAAAAUUUCACAGAAUAGUAUGAAGUCGCUUUGUUGUUGGGCUAGGCUUCAUGCGAAAUUUAAUCAGCAACUAAGCAUGUAGAUGUUUGCAGGUUUGCCGUUUCGGACCGGGGUUCGACUCCCCGCACCUCCACCA